Molecule: ribosomal RNA, 619 nt
Filed under: uncultured Russula
Lineage: Eukaryota; Fungi; Basidiomycota; Agaricomycetes; Russulales; Russulaceae
Description: eukaryotic LSU rRNA
Rfam family: 5.8S ribosomal RNA (bases 183-336)
Source: RNAcentral
ACAACCGAGGUGCAAAGGCUGUCGCUGACCCUCAAAGGUUGUGCACGCCCGAGCGCUCUCACACAAUCCAUCUCACCUUUGUGCAUCACCGCGUGGGUCCCCUUUGCGGGAGGGCUCGCGUUUUCACAUAAUAACUCGAUACAGUGUAGAAUGUUUCUUUUGCGGUCACACGCAAUCAAUACAACUUUCAACAACGGAUCUCUUGGCUCUCGCAUCGAUGAAGAACGCAGCGAAAUGCGAUACGUAAUGUGAAUUGCAGAAUUCAGUGAAUCAUCGAAUCUUUGAACGCACCUUGCGCCCCUUGGCAUUCCGAGGGGCACACCCGUUUGAGUGUCGUGAAUUCUUCAAAACCCUUUUUUCUUCGAACCAUCGUGGUCGGGAAAAGGAUUUUUGGACUUGGAGGUUUAAUGCUCGCCCUUUCUUUUGAAAGCGAGCUCCUCUCAAAUGAAUUAGUGGGGUCCGCUUUGCUGAUCCUUGACGUGAUAAAAUGUUUCUACGUUUUGGGUUUAGCACUGUCGCUUNNUGCCUGCUCCUAACCCGUCUUAUUGACAAUGAUGGUGCUCUGGUCACUGCCGUCUACAUCGGCGGGAGGCUGGACCCACAAAAAGAAAAACCUUGA